AGCUCAAGUAACAGUGCAAGCCUAACUAUGUCUACUCAGAAGGACUUUGCAUUGUAUUUAAUGGGGCUUACUCCCAGGUAAGUUGAGUCAGGCUUUCAACCUUAAGCAUUAUUAAACGAGUAUGAGAGAAUACAUAUGUAUAAGGUGCAACAGUUCAGCGAUUAAUGCAGACCUGAAAUCUGAACCUUCCUAUGCCAUCCUUCCAAUUAUUUGCCUCGAAGUACAGUGGUACCUCGGGCUACAUACACUUCAGGUUAGAUACGCUUCAGGUUACAGACUCCACUAACUCAGAAAUAGUACUUUGGGUUAAGAACUUUGCUUCAGGAUGAGAACAGAAAUCAUGCGGCGGCGGCACAGCAGGCCCCAUUAGCUAAAGUGGUGCUUCAGGCUAAGAACAGUUUCAGGUUAAGAAUGGACCUCCAGAACGAAUUAAGUACUUAACCUGAGGUACCGCUGUAAAUGCAACAGACUGUUUUUAGUUCCUGCUAAUUUGGACUCUUCUUUGCAUUGGACCAAUAAGUAUUUAAGAGGAGUAACCACACGUGGUUAGCAGCAUUGAAAACAAAUGAAUGCUGUUAAACUAGAGGGCCUUUAUCCAAGCAAGCUUUUGUGAAAAGCAGUUUUUCACUGUCUGUGUCACAAGACACACAGUGCAUCAUGAAGCCUGACAUCUACCAGUCUUCACCCGCAAGUCUUGAGUUUAAGAACAAACUCAGCAGUGGUGCUGUUGUUGAAUCACAUCCUGUUCACUCACCCAGUUUUAGACUGUGUAUGAUUAUUCCUCAGGACAACAUAUGUCUGGCCAACUCAUUUAUACUAUAUUGCCAGAAACAACCGAAUCCCCUUGCUUUAAAAAUAAAUGACUGACCCGUGUCAAUAUUAACUGACUUGUGUCAACAAUAAUGGCUGGCCUGUGUCUUUGUUGUAGUAACUCAGUGUUUCCCAGAGAAUUGUUUUUAAAUAGUUACCACAGAGUCUCCCAAACUUGGGUCUCCAACAGUUUUUGGACUACAGCUCCCAUCAUCUGUAGCUACCAGGACCAGCGGUCAGGGAUGAUGGGACUUGUAGUCCAAAAACAGGUGGAGACCCAAGUUUGUGGUAACUCUGUGGUAACUAUUUAAAAACAAUUCUCUGUUUUGUAUUGGCAAUGCAAUAAUGCAAUCCUUGCUGUAAGGAUGGCAUUUGAGUUACAGUGGUACCUCGGGUUAAGAACUUAAUUCGUUCUGGAGGUCCGUUCUUAACCUGAAACUGUUCUUAACUUGAGGUACCACUUUAGCUAAUGGGGCCUCCUGCUGCCGCCAUGCCGCCGGAGCACAAUUUCUGUUCUCAUCCUGAAGCAAAGUUCUUAACCCGAGGUACUAUUUCUGGGUUAGCGGAGUCUGUAACCUGAAGCGUAUGUAACCCGAGGUACCACUGUAUUUGCUAGAAAAUCUGAGUAACCUCACACAAACAUUUUACAAGAUGGUAACAGGAGAAGAGAAAUACAGUACAUGCACUGGGAUUAGUUUUUAGUUCCUAUUCAUGAAAUAUUACAUAUAUAUAUAUAUAUAUAUAUAUAUAUAUAUCUCCAUCACACAGACUGCAACAUAACAAGGCCCAGAUGGAAAAGAAAACACUGAAAUGGGCAGAUUUGUGCUCCACAACACACAGGCUCCCUCUUCGCCAGACCAAAGGUUAAUCUAGCUCCUCAGGGUUUCCCAAACUUGGGUCUGCAGAUGUUGUUGGACUACAAUUCCCAUCAACCCUAGCCAGCAGCACCAGUGGUCAGGGAUGAUGGGAACUGUAGUCCAAAAACAGCUGGAGACCCAAGCUGGAGAAAUCCUGAUCUAGCCCAAUAUUCUGUUCCCAACAGAACACCCCUGGGGAAAUCACAGGCAACCUACGAAAAUUAUGACUCUUGCCUGUUUCUCCCUGGCACGUGGCAUUCAGAAGUACACUGCUCUUGUAUUUCAGACGUGGGGUGAGAGUCCUGUACACCUGGAGGCCUAGAAAUAAGGCACAGCCUUGUUGCUUGAAGUGUUGAAACAGCAGACAGGAUUUAGGCUUCCAUUCUAAACGCACUUACCUGGAAAUAAAACCCCACUGGUAACACCUGGCCUUGUAAAGUCCAAGUAAACAUGCUUUAGACUGGGUUGCAAGUGUCACAUGCUAAACAAGAGUCAUCCCUAUCUCUUUGCUUUUCCCAGAGUGCCCUCUUCUGCUUUCCCAGACCAGAAUAAAAAUCUGGGAUGGACUCCCAGGCAAGGCUUGGUGCAUUAUUCAAGAAUACCAUCUCUGCUGGCGGAAGGAGAGGAAGGGGUGGAAAGGAUCACGCCACUUAGUACUGGAAAGGAACAUGCCCUCCGGUCACGCUGACUUGCAACUCUGUUUGGUUUGGAAAGAGUUGCUCCCCUUCUCUCUUGCUUUCCCUUCCUCCACUGAUUUCACUUGAGAUAACGACCCACGUGAAAACGCAACCUUGCAAUCGUAUCAGCAACCUUCCACCCCCCAAACCAGGCGCCUGAGGAUGUUUGGAUAGCAGGAAAGCUCCUAUUUUCAGAGCAAACCACCAGGAAAAAAAACCAUGCCGGGUUUCAUGCAAAACCUACAGUUUUCUGGAAGUAAGGGCGAGGGAGUUGUGCAAAUGAUUUCAGAAGCAAAUGGAGGCCAGCAGCAAGCAAGUGCUUCCCCGAAUUGCACGGCAGCUCCUGAGGGCAAAGCAUUUCAAAAGACACGCGAAAGUUGGAGACUCGGCAAGAAUUAAACCUCUUCCAUUGAAAACCACGUUCAGACAAGGCCAGUGUCCCGGGUCUUCCUCUAAAGCAAGUUUGGUGGCUUGCAUUUAUUUAGAAAUCCACCCAGGGGUGGGAGAAAAAAAAUAAAAAUAAAAGCUCAA
Molecule: non-coding RNA, 2875 nt
Organism: Podarcis lilfordi (Lilford's wall lizard)
Lineage: Eukaryota; Metazoa; Chordata; Lepidosauria; Squamata; Lacertidae
Source: the annotation of a GenBank genome assembly